CCUACGGGUGGCUGCAGUGGGGGAUAUUGCACAAUGGCGGGAACCCUGAUGCAGCGACGCCGCGUGGGUGAAGGAGCGCUUCGGCGCGUAAAGCUCUAUCGGCAGGGAAUAAGAUGACGGUACCUGACCAAGAAGCCUCGGCUAACUACGUGACAGCCGCCGAGGUAAUACGUAGGGGCCAAGCGUUAUCCGGAUUUACUGGGUGUAAAGGGGGCGCAGACGGCAAUGCAAGCCAGGAGUGAAAGCCCGGGGCCCAACCCCGAGACUGCUCUUGAAACUGGAUGGCUUGAGUACAGGAGGGGCAGGCGGAAUUCCUGGUGUAGCGGUGAAAUGCGUAGAUAGUAGGAGGAACACCGGUGGCGAAGGCGGCCUGCUGGACUGUGACUGACGUUGAGGCCCGAAGGCGUGGGGAGCAAACAGGAUUAGAUACCCGGGUAGUC
RNAcentral lists this ribosomal RNA (440 nucleotides) under uncultured bacterium. Its description in RNAcentral is "partial 16S ribosomal RNA". It matches the Rfam family "Bacterial small subunit ribosomal RNA", at positions 338 to 795 of the family's 1533-position model. The record is from RNAcentral.